UAGUCCAUGCCGUAAACGUUGGGCGCUAGGUGUGGGGCUCGUUCCACGAGUUCUGUGCCGCAGCUAACGCAUUAAGCGCCCCGCCUGGGGAGUACGGCCGCAAGGCUAAAACUCAAAGGAAUUGACGGGGGCCCGCACAAGCGGCGGAGCAUGCGGAUUAAUUCGAUGCAACGCGAAGAACCUUACCAAGGCUUGACAUGGGGUGAAAACCGGCAGAGAUGUCGGGUCCGCAAGGGCGCCUC
Molecule: ribosomal RNA, 242 nt
Filed under: uncultured bacterium
Lineage: Bacteria
Description: partial 16S ribosomal RNA
Rfam family: Bacterial small subunit ribosomal RNA
Source: RNAcentral